RNAcentral lists this ribosomal RNA (421 nucleotides) under uncultured bacterium. Its description in RNAcentral is "bacterial SSU rRNA". It matches the Rfam family "Bacterial small subunit ribosomal RNA", at positions 355 to 774 of the family's 1533-position model. The record is from RNAcentral.
UAAGGAAUAUUGGUCAAUGGACGCAAGUCUGAACCAGCCAUGCCGCGUGGAGGAUGAAGGCCCUCUGGGUUGUAAACUUCUUUUAUAUGGGACGAAAAAGGGUCUUUCUAGAUCAACUGACGGUACCAUGUGAAUAAGCACCGGCUAACUCCGUUCCAGCAGCCGCGGUAAUACGGAGGGUGAAGCGUUAUCCGGAUUCACUGGGUUUAAAGGGUGCGUAGGCGGGUUGGUAAGUCAGUGGUGAAAUCUCCGAGCUUAACUUGGAAACUGCCAUUGAUACUAUCAGUCUUGAGUAAUGUGAAGGUCAGAGGAAUAUGUCAGGUAGCGGUGAAAUGCUUAGAUAUGGCAUAGAACACCGAUUACGAAGGCAGCUGGCUACGCAUAUAUUGACAGUGAGGCACGAAAGCGUGGGGAUCAAACA